Molecule: long non-coding RNA, 1247 nt
Organism: Oncorhynchus nerka (sockeye salmon)
Lineage: Eukaryota; Metazoa; Chordata; Actinopteri; Salmoniformes; Salmonidae
Exons: 2
Source: RefSeq, a predicted model, not a curated record
GUUAACGGUUUAACGGUGCGCGCGGGGUUUGUUCUUACCCUCUGACAGCUCGAGCUCCAACUCCGCCAGCCGGGCGCGAACGUCCAGUGGUAACGGCGACGCCUCACGCUCUGCCAUUAGGUUAUACGGUAGAAAAAUCUCUCCGUCCUCCCUCAGUUGCCGUCUCCUCCUCUCCUCCAGCAGAGAAAGAGAGCUAUUCCGCGGAUCCUCCUAGCGGUGCGUUGAGGCAGCUAGCGGUGCGUAGAGGGGAACAAAGAGAAAAAUAUGUUUUGUCGGUUUACCGGGGCCCCGGCAUGGCCUCGCUAGUCUACCUCUUCUCCGUUAUUAUCGUCUCUGUGAUGAGGGACCACUGAGGGUCGAUCGGUGGGUCUCGAGGCUGCUUGCCCGGCGAUGCGGUGCUGAUGAUGAUACUCGCGCUGUUUGGAGCUACUGUCACGUGACGCACGGUGGAGCGGAGAGGAGCGCCACCGGGAGGGACCGAGGGUGGCGCGGCGUUGGAGGCAGGGGUAUUAUGUCCAAACCACUGCACCACACCCUCUUGAUACACACAUUGAUAUAUAGGCCUAUAUCAUUGAAUUAUGGCAACAAUGUACUGGUGGAUCUCUGGUCUUCAUGAAGCACAAGGAAUUGCCAAGGAGCACACAAGCCGGGCUUUCUGCCUACCACUCGGCUUAGCUUUGGCAGCUCAGCUCAAGUCUUCAAAUCUCAGGUCUAAUGGUGCUGAAGUAGGCUAAACAAACAAGCUGUAAUAGCUGCCAUCAGAGAAUCAGCACCACAGAAGCGGACAGCGACAGAAUCGGAACUCAGCACCACGUGACAUUGGAAAGCGACGCUCUCAGGUGCAGACACUCACCACUUGAACAAUCUGACCGCAGGCCACUACUGAAGAAAAGGUUCCUGCACGAAUGUAGUUUGCUAGACUGAUUCAGCCAGCCAUACUGACUUCUUCAUCCAAACUUUAGAAUUGUAAGUAAUAGGGAAUAAAUUACAAUGCGAAAAUGAUUGUUUACUGUUUAUUAUUAAGGCCAUUUGUUUAAUAACAGUCAAAUUAUUUACAUCUGUACAGAAAAAAAACAUUCACCUUUUUAAAUCAAUUCUGUAUCUACCCACAUUUACAGCCUUAAUCUAUCUCAAACACAAGAAAUCUGAACUGAAAACUAUUUACUUCCCACCACCCCUGAUUCCAUAUCAAGUUGUUAACUCAAGUAACUCUAACAAUGUUGUAUCUGUAUGCAAACUUAUCAAUA